Molecule: long non-coding RNA, 3197 nt
Filed under: Pogonomyrmex barbatus (red harvester ant)
Lineage: Eukaryota; Metazoa; Arthropoda; Insecta; Hymenoptera; Formicidae
Description: uncharacterized LOC105433774
Source: RNAcentral
CACACACACACACAAACAAUAUUACGCAUUUUUUUACCCAAUGUCGGAAUCUCAUACUUUAUUUCUCACUGUGGUUAACAAUCUGAAGCGUUUUGUGAGAAACUUUCCGCUGCGUUGAUCCGCAAAUCUUUGAUGGCUGCUAUCAAAGCUCUACUAAUUCGUUACAAAAGUUACCGAUUCUACAUAUUAAUAUCACAUGAAAAGCAAUUGAACGAUAAUGUAGAUUAAAAACGCAUUCAAAUGAACAUUUCCAAGGCCCUGUUGGAGCGGUUUAAACGAAACGAGUGGAACUUUUUGCGUUGAUUAAUAACUGUUGAUGAAACUUGAAUCCAUUACUUCACUCUUGAACCGAAGAAACAAUCAAAACAGUGAACUGCGAAGAGUGAACUUGCUCCGAAGAAGGCGAAGAUAGUUUCAUUGGCCGGGAAGGUGAUAGCGAUUGUUUUUAGGAUAAUCAUGGAAUUGUGUUCAUCGAUUAUCUUGAAAAAGGUAAAGUAACGGAGGUAUACUACGCAUCAUUAAUUGACAAACUGAAGAGAACAGAAAUUGCGAAAAAAUAGCCACAUUUGAAGAAGAAGAAAAUGCUGUUCCAUCAAGAUAACGCACCAGUGAAGAAGAAAGUGCUAUUCCAUCAAGACGAUAAAAGAUAAUCAAGUGCUGUUCCAUCAAGAAGAUAACUCACACUUCGAUGGUUGCCAUGGCAAAAAUUCAAAAUUGUCAUGGCGGUUCGAAUUGAUUGACUAUCCACUGUAUUUACCAGAUCUGGCUCCUAGCAACUUUUUCCUGUUUUCUAGGUUCAGGGGACAGAAAUUUUCGUCGAACGAGGAGGUCAUCGUAUCCAUAGGAGCCUAUUUUGCAGAGCAAGACGCUAACUAUUAUUUGAAUGGGUUAAAGGGGUGGGAGCAUCGCUGGGAAAAGUGUAAUGACAUAAAAGAAGAUUAUGUUGAAAAAUGACCCUCGUACACACUGUUACGUCCAGCCCAAAGAAAAUUAAGAAAUUAAGAAAUGAAUGAAAUAUGAAUGGACGAUAUAGCUGCUCUCCCGAGAGUCAAACAUUGAAACGUGCAUCCUCGUCAAAACACACUGUUUGUCUUGGCACUGGGUCAGCGUUGAGGCAAUGCUAUGACACCGUAGUGUAAACGUACGUUCGUUGGUCUUUUUAGGUCAUUAAACUUAAUUCUUUUGCACGGGCGCGCGCGCGCGCGCGUGUGUGUGUGUGUGUGUGUAUGUAUGUGUGUAUCGCGAUUUAGAAGAGUAUGAAGGUCGAGUAGGAAUUCUCGGGGAAAUUGAUCUUAUUUCGUUAGUUAGGCGAGAGUGUAAGAUCCUGCUCGGUUACAAUAAUUCAUCAAUUAAUUUAACAUCAUAACUUAAUAACAUCAUUGUCAUGAGAUAAUGUAUAAAGGUAAAUGAAAUUAACAUUGGAGAGUUAAAGGGGGGAGUAGUGUUGAGUUUCCUCUGAGAUCAUCAAAUUGGGAGGAUUCAUCUAAAUUGAGUGGAAAGAAUUGGUCGUCAUGGAGCCAAAGACCAAGGGAUAAGACACUGAAAUUGAUUGUGGGAGAUUGUGGUUCGGAUCGGUGUACCGUGGAAUAGCUAAGCUCUAUCGCAUAAAUUAAACGUUCCAGCGAGUCGGAAGGCAAAUCAGGGAAAAAUUGAGAGAAAAGAUCAGAGGGGGAUUUUGGAACUGGAACGAGUGAGCCUAAUUGUAACGGUUCAGCUGGUUCUGUCAACGUUUGAUUUGAUUGUAUAGCGGUGUUCUUGGCCGCGCGUUGAGCUCGAGCGUUUCGGCGAUUUCGCAAAUGUUUAAGGGAGCGUUUAGACCGUGGAGUCUUUGAUCACUGUGACGAGAAAAGGUGGAUAAGUAAAGAGAGGCGAGAGGCAUUUUUAAAAAAAAGGAGGGGGAAGAGAAUAUGAAAAAAGAUUCAUCGAUUAUUAAGUAACUAUGAACCUUCAAAGGAAAUUCGGAAAUCCGAGAGGUCUACAGCGCUUAGUAGGAAAGAUUUGCCGAUUAUUCAACUACCAUGAACUUUCAAGGGUCUUUAACGAAAUUCGGAAACCCGAGAAGUUCACAGCGAUUAAGUAAGAGAGAGCGAAGGUAAAAAGAAAUAAGAAGAGAUCCAAGAUAACAAAUUAUUGGAACUUUUCAACUUACUAUUUUGCUGAAUUUGGGAAAGCGAUGUGUGUGCAUGAGUGGCGUCGCCGGGAAGACUCUAGGUCACUUGUAGAGAUUGCUUUUCGAAAUCGGAGUGUAUACUGGGAGUACGUUGUGAGUGAACCGAACGAAUCGAAUGAAUUGUCUGAACUAAACAUUGCUCUCGAAAGGUCCUGUAUACACGGUUCUAAUGAGGAAAAUUUUUAUGUUUUUUUAUUUCGUCAUUGCUGUCUACGUGAUUGUACGCAUAUUAUAUAUAACUGUACGCAUAGCGAUUUUGAAAAGUUUAGUCAUGUGUUUAUUCUUAAAAUAUUUUUUUAUUUUAUCAUUGCUAUCUAUGUGAUCAACUUCAACGCGUACAGAGUUUAAGAAGUUUAGACAUAGGUUUAUUUAUGAGAUAAAGUCAAUGAUCGGCGGCCCGCGUUUUAUAGAUUUGACAGUAGAUUUUGAUGAUUCAUAAAAAACAAGUUUUGACAUUUGAUAAUGAAACAAAAAUUUGGAAAUAAUGGAUCAUUCUCUAAAGAAGAGAAUCGUGUAGUCGUAACAAUACAUCACUCCGAAGAUUUAAUCGCUAGCUAUUAUGUGCGAGACGCAAUGUUAAGGAAUGAAGUAAAGAGAAUGAACUGUCUUGAGAUUGAACUUUUAUUUAAGACACAAUACACUUAAUGAAUCGAGAUGUGGUGUUUUUACUUCAAGUUUCUGACGAAAACUGAACUUUGUGCGCAAGAUGGAUCUUUGUUCAAGACGAGAUAGACGGUAUUUUUGUUAAUACAAGAAUCAAUAAUGUAACACGUUUUGAUACGGAACAUGGUGAAUGAAGUGGUUUUCUAAAAGGGAAAUCGUGAGAAUGUAUUGAUAUGUGUUGCGAUGAUUUGUUUCGAUAGGACUAGUAAUAUAUCUCGCAAUCUGUCACGGCGUGAAAGUUUGUCAGGGUGAUUGUCUGGCCUUAUUUGUUGAGAGAAAAGAAAAGAAUUUAAAAUUAUUUUAGUAUUGGUUAGUAUUGGUUAGUAUUUACUUAAAAUCUACUUGACAAAAAAGGGGGGUAAGA